AAUAAACCAUUCUAGAAUAUUUAAAAUGCAUUUUGACUAAUCGUUUAGAGUGUUUUUUUUGUGUUUAAAUAGUACUUUUUUUUUAUAUAUGUUUUGAAUAUCUAUGUUUUAAAAUUUAAAUAUUAACUUAUUUUAAUCUAAUUUAAUUUUAAAAAAAAAUAAUAAUUUAUGACGAGUAUUUGAAAUAAAGGGAAUAGUGAACUACCUCCUUAUUUAAAUUACGUGACUAUUUUUGAAAACUAUGCACAUUAAUUUAUAAAAGGUCUACUGGACUUAAUCACAUUAAUUUAUAGUUAACCUUCUUGCCUUUUUAUAUGGUGAUAUGCAUACUCCAAUCAUAUAUAAAAUAUAUUAUUAGCAUAAGAUGGCAAUUACAAAUAGUUCAGGGCAUCAAGUUAUGAUAAUAAGUUCUUUUUUUUUAAAACAAUAAAAAUAAAAUAAAUAUGGAUAGAGAUAGGGAAUAAAAGAACCUCUAUUAAUGGAGGCGAAUUCAACCCUUCGUUUCAAUUAUAAAAGAUAAUGUUCAAUCCGUUGGUUUAUACUCAUCUAUGUUAUCAAUAUAUACUUUUAUGUAGGACCCGUGCUUGCACGGGUUCGCCAUCGUCUAGUACUUGAAAUAUGUUUGAGUAUGUGCCCUUGGAUACAUUGCUAUUUACUAUUUCAUAAUCGAUGAGUCAUGUUAUCGUUUAAAGCUAAGGUUCGAAAGAUCUUAUUAUUAUUGGAUACUAAUUAUUAUUUUUUCAUUUUCUCGCUGCAUGUGAAAUCUUCCUGAGUCCUCAUGGACUCUACCUUUGCAUUUUCUCAUUGGCCCGGGGAGGCCCAAUCCCUUAUUCGAGUCUACCGGCCAUUGAAAAUUGACGUACAGGUCCUGGAGUUAAAAAAAUAAUAAUAAUACUGAAGCAGAUCGGAGAACUGAGAAGAUUGGGCCAAAGGCCCACUCUUAAAUCCAAGAUUGUAUUUUGUUACUUGUUGGGCCUAAGCCCAUUUAGUUAUUAUUAUUAUUAUUUCUCUUAGAAGUUUAGGACAGGUGAAAUUGGGCCUAAGGCCCAAAUAAUAUUUUAUUUUAUGUUAGUUUAAGACAGGUACAAAGGUGGCAAAAAUCGGGCCAAAAGGCCCAAAAUGAAAUUAGGCCCAAAUACUGGCCUAGGCGAACAGGAAAACCAGAUUUGGGCCCAAAUCUCUUUCCCUCCUUUCUUUGUUGUGUUUAUUUACUCGUCAUUAUUUGCUAUUAAUCUUAAGGUUUUAAAAUCUUCAAAUCCCUAAA
This 1264-nucleotide long non-coding RNA is filed under the name Solanum tuberosum (potato). RNAcentral describes it as "long non-coding RNA (STUB_LNC006943)". Lineage: Eukaryota; Viridiplantae; Streptophyta; Magnoliopsida; Solanales; Solanaceae. The record is from RNAcentral.